Molecule: non-coding RNA, 73 nt
Organism: Stegodyphus mimosarum
Lineage: Eukaryota; Metazoa; Arthropoda; Arachnida; Araneae; Eresidae
Source: Rfam
GCCUUCGUAGUGCAAUGGUCAGCACGCUCGACGGGUAACCGAGAGGCCCGUGGUUCGAUUCCCGGCAAAGGCG